Molecule: ribosomal RNA, 497 nt
Filed under: uncultured bacterium
Lineage: Bacteria
Description: partial 16S ribosomal RNA
Rfam family: Bacterial small subunit ribosomal RNA
Source: RNAcentral
GAUGAACGCUGGCGGCGUGCCUAAUACAUGCAAGUCGAGCGAACAGAUGAGGAGCUUGCUCCUCUGACGUUAGCGGCGGACGGGUGAGUAACACGUGGAUAACCUACCUAUAAGACUGGGAUAACUUCGGGAAACCGGAGCUAAUACCGGAUAAUAUAUUGAACCGCAUGGUUCAAUAGUGAAAGACGGUUUUGCUGUCACUUAUAGAUGGAUCCGCGCCGCUUUAGCUAGUUGGUAAGGUAACGGCUUACCAAGGCAACGAUGCGUAGCCGACCUGAGAGGGUGAUCGGCCACACUGGAACUGAGACACGGUCCAGACUCCUACGGGAGGCAGCAGUAGGGAAUUUUCCGCAAUGGGCGAAAGCCUGACGGAGCAACGCCGCGUGAGUGAUGAAGGUCUUCGGAUCGUAAAACUCUGUUAUUAGGGAAGAACAAAUGUGUAAGUAACUAUGCACGUCUUGACGGUACCUAAUCAGAAAGCCACGGCUAACUACGUG